Molecule: ribosomal RNA, 428 nt
Filed under: uncultured bacterium
Lineage: Bacteria
Description: bacterial SSU rRNA
Rfam family: Bacterial small subunit ribosomal RNA
Source: RNAcentral
GAUGAACGCUAGCUACAGGCUUAACACAUGCAAGUCGAGGGGCAGCAUGACCUAGCAAUAGGUUGAUGGCGACCGGCGCACGGGUGAGUAACACGUAUCCAACCUACCGGUUAUUCCGGGAUAGCCUUUCGAAAGAAAGAUUAAUACCGGAUAGUAUAACGAGAAGGCAUCUUCUUGUUAUUAAAGAAUUUCGAUAACCGAUGGGGAUGCGUUCCAUUAGUUUGUUGGCGGGGUAACGGCCCACCAAGACAUCGAUGGAUAGGGGUUCUGAGAGGAAGGUCCCCCACAUUGGAACUGAGACACGGUCCAAACUCCUACGGGAGGCAGCAGUGAGGAAUAUUGGUCAAUGGACGAGAGUCUGAACCAGCCAAGUAGCGUGAAGGAUGACUGCCCUAUGGGUUGUAAACUUCUUUUAUAUGGGAAUAAAG